Molecule: long non-coding RNA, 590 nt
Organism: Gadus chalcogrammus (walleye pollock)
Lineage: Eukaryota; Metazoa; Chordata; Actinopteri; Gadiformes; Gadidae
Exons: 4
Source: RefSeq, a predicted model, not a curated record
AACAGGACAUGUGUAUUCUAAUGAUAUAAUUAGAUAUGACCUUAUUUGACCAAGUGAAAUAAUGAUUUUAACCUUUGGCUGUGACUAAAAUACAUUCACAGACGGUCAGCUGUACUAGAUGCAGCUGAUUCCACUGAGGCAGUGUUGCCCCGACUUUGUUCUGGACGUGAUAAUAUGAAGCACCGAGGAUCACAGGAGGAUAUGUGGACAUUUGAAAGAGAUUCAGCCUCGGCCAAGUUAUCCACGGCAAUGGCCAGGAAGACGUUCAGCAGGAUGACUGGGCAGUGGGUCAAGUCAAAUACAAGUCCAACGAUUACACACAAUGGUUUACAGACAACCGUUGUCCCAGUUGUCUGUCAGAUUUGGAGAAUUUUUGCAGGACUAACGCUUUGAAACACAGCAGAUGUGAGGCAACCCCACGCCGUUGGCCAGGGUCCAGCCGCUUCAGCACCCUCCCCGUGGACGGGUAGUGGAAGGAAGAUACAUCCCCCUCCACCCAGCUGCACUAGAUGGAGCAUCAAGCAGGCCCAGGCAAUCAAGGACAUUGGGGGCACCGGGGGGACGGGGACGGGAGAGACGGGGGAAAAAGA